Molecule: non-coding RNA, 496 nt
Organism: Macaca mulatta (Rhesus monkey)
Lineage: Eukaryota; Metazoa; Chordata; Mammalia; Primates; Cercopithecidae
Source: RefSeq, a predicted model, not a curated record
GUGGGUUCCUCCAGGCCUGCGCUGGUGGUUGAGUGAUGUAAUCACGCGGGGUCUGAGGUCUCCGUGAGUGUAGGUUUCGUCGUUGUGCUGAUGACAAGCAGUGCCCGAACUCUAGGCUGGGAAUUGUGCCAGGCUGCUGCUUUCGUGGCUGACCGGAAAGGGGCAGAAGGAUUGAAGUUUACGAAGUUUUUGAAUCAGGAGGCAAGGUCGCCUUGUGCCCCCAAAAGGGUGGAAAAAGGCCUGGCUAACUGGAGAAUCGCGUCCUUACGGUAUCCUGUGUUUUCUAGUUGAACGCUUGUGAAAAUUCGCUUUAUCCUUGAAGUUCAGAAUUUUCACCAAGAUGUAUGAUGACCCUGUCCUCGAUGGAUCAGCCGGCACCACCCAGAUAGAUAAAUUGGCUCAUCUGAUCUUGUGGCCCCCAUCCAGGAAGUGACUCAGUGCAAGAAGACAGCUUCGACUCCGUAUGAUUUCAUCUCUGACCUGACCAAUCAGCACU